RNAcentral lists this ribosomal RNA (253 nucleotides) under uncultured bacterium. Its description in RNAcentral is "partial 16S ribosomal RNA". It matches the Rfam family "Bacterial small subunit ribosomal RNA", at positions 524 to 776 of the family's 1533-position model. The record is from RNAcentral.
UACAGAGGGUGCGAGCGUUAAUCGGAAUUAUUGGGCGUAAAGGGCGCGUAGGCGGUUUGUUAAGUGAGAUGUGAAAUCCCCGGGCUUAACCUGGGAACUGCAUCUCAAACUGAGAGACUGGAGUACAGUAGAGGGGAGUGGAAUUUCCGGUGUAGCGGUGAAAUGCGUAGAUAUCGGGAGGAACACCAGUGGCGAAGGCGGCUACCUGGACUGAUACUGACGCUGAGGCGCGAGAGCGUGGGGAGCAAACAGG